Molecule: ribosomal RNA, 253 nt
Filed under: uncultured bacterium
Lineage: Bacteria
Description: partial 16S ribosomal RNA
Rfam family: Bacterial small subunit ribosomal RNA
Source: RNAcentral
UACGGCGGGUGCGAGCGUUGUCCGGAAUCAUUGGGCGUACAGGGCGCGUAGGUGGCUUCUUAAGCGUGCGGUGAAAGCCUGGGGCUCAACCCCGGGUCGGCCGUGCGAACUGGGGGGCUGGAGCACUGUAGAGGCAGGCGGAAUUCCGGGUGUAGCGGUGGAAUGCGUAGAGAUCCGGAAGAACACCGGUGGCGAAGGCGGCCUGCUGGGCAGUUGCUGACACUGAGGCGCGACAGCGUGGGGAGCAAACAGG